AGACGUCUACAUUAGAUACCCCCUGUAGUCCCAGCCGUAAACUAUGCGCGUUAGGUGUAUCGGUGACCACGAGUUACCGAGGUGCCGAAGGGAAACCGUGAAACGUGCCGCCUGGGAAGUACGGUCGCAAGGCUGAAACUUAAGGAAUUGGCGGGGAGCACAACAACGGGUGGAGCCUGCGGUUUAAUUGGACUCAACGCCGGACAACUCACCGGGAACGACAGCAAUAUGUAGGCCAGGCUGAAGACCUUGCCUGAAUCGCUG
RNAcentral lists this ribosomal RNA (264 nucleotides) under uncultured archaeon. RNAcentral describes it as "partial 16S ribosomal RNA". It matches the Rfam family "Archaeal small subunit ribosomal RNA", at positions 717 to 982 of the family's 1478-position model. The record is from RNAcentral.